Molecule: transfer RNA, 65 nt
Filed under: Eulepethus nanhaiensis
Lineage: Eukaryota; Metazoa; Annelida; Polychaeta; Phyllodocida; Eulepethidae
Description: tRNA-Pro
Source: RNAcentral
CAGAAGAUAGUUUAAAAAAAACAAUAACUUUGGGAGUUAUAAAUCAAAUAACCUUUGUCAUCUGA